GCCCGGAUGGCGAAAUCGGUAGACGCGUUAGUUUCAGGGACUAGUGUAAGCAAUUACGUGCAGGUUCGAGUCCUGUUCCGGGUA
This 84-nucleotide transfer RNA is filed under the name Dysgonamonadaceae bacterium. RNAcentral describes it as "tRNA-Leu". It matches the Rfam family "tRNA". Rfam says of the family: Transfer RNA (tRNA) molecules are approximately 80 nucleotides in length. Their secondary structure includes four short double-helical elements and three loops (D, anti-codon, and T loops). Lineage: Bacteria; Pseudomonadati; Bacteroidota; Bacteroidia; Bacteroidales; Dysgonomonadaceae. The record is from RNAcentral.